RNAcentral lists this small RNA (73 nucleotides) under Salmonella enterica. RNAcentral describes it as "partial RtT sRNA". It matches the Rfam family "RtT RNA", at positions 54 to 130 of the family's 130-position model. Rfam says of the family: This family represents a bacterial cis-regulatory element known as RtT RNA. The record is from RNAcentral. RNAcentral also lists the same sequence under 1 other name. Lineage: Bacteria; Pseudomonadati; Pseudomonadota; Gammaproteobacteria; Enterobacterales; Enterobacteriaceae.
CGUGAAGGAUAAUGUUGCUUUAGCAACGGCCCGAAGGGCGAGGCAAAGCCGAGUCAUCCUGCACGACCCACCA